UGUGACCUCAAAUCAGGUAGGACUACCCGCUGAACUUAAGCAUAUCAAUAAGCGGAGGAAAAGAAACUAACAAGGAUUCCCCUAGUAACUGCGAGUGAAGCGGGAAAAGCUCAAAUUUAAAAUCUGGCAGUCUUUGACUGUUCGAGUUGUAAACUAGAGAAGUGUUAUCCGCGCUGGACCGUGUACAAGUCUCCUGGAAUGGAGCGUCGUAGAGGGUGAGAAUCCCGUCUUUGACACGGACUACCAGGGCUUUGUGAUGCGCUCUCAAAGAGUCGGGUUGUUUGGGAAUGCAGCUCAAAAUGGGUGGUAAAUUCCAUCUAAAGCUAAAUAUUGGCGAGAGACCGAUAGCGAACAAGUACCGUGAGGGAAAGAUGAAAAGAACUUUGGAAAGAGAGUUAAACAGUACGUGAAAUUGCUGAAAGGGAAACGCUUGAAGUCAGUCGCGUUGUCCAGGGAUCAACCUUGCUUUUGCUUGGUGUACUUUCUGGUUGACGGGUCAGCAUCAAUUUUGACUAUUGGAAAAAGAUUAGGGGAAUGUGACAUCUUCGGAUGUGUUAUAGCCCUUGGUUGCAUACAAUGGUUGGGAUUGAGGAACUCAGCACGCCGCAAGGCCGGGUAAAUCUUACCACGUACGUGCUUAGGAUGCUGGCAUAAUGGCUUUAAUCGACCCGUCUUGAAACACGGACCAAGGAGUCUAACAUGCCUGCGAGUGUUUGGGUGGAAAACCCGAGCGCGUAAUGAAAGUGAAAGUUGAGAUCCCUGUCGUGGGGAGCAUCGACGCCCGGACCAGACCUUUUGUGACGGUUCCGCGGUAGAGCAUGUAUGUUGGGACCCGAAAGAUGGUGAACUAUGCCUGAAUAGGGUGAAGCCAGAGGAAACUCUGGUGGAGGCUCGUAGCGAUUCUGACGUGCAAAUCGAUCGUCAAAUUUGGGUAUAGGGGCGAAAGACUAAU
This 952-nucleotide ribosomal RNA is filed under the name Cortinarius infractus. RNAcentral describes it as "eukaryotic LSU rRNA". It matches the Rfam family "Eukaryotic large subunit ribosomal RNA", at positions 1 to 935 of the family's 3401-position model. The record is from RNAcentral. Lineage: Eukaryota; Fungi; Basidiomycota; Agaricomycetes; Agaricales; Cortinariaceae.